Molecule: microRNA precursor, 171 nt
Filed under: Medicago truncatula (barrel medic)
Lineage: Eukaryota; Viridiplantae; Streptophyta; Magnoliopsida; Fabales; Fabaceae
Description: MIR2619 microRNA precursor family
Rfam family: MIR2619 microRNA precursor family
Source: Rfam by way of RNAcentral
GAACCGCCCCCUAAGUUUUGCACCUGUAGCAGUUUUGGCCCCCUAAGGCCAAUUUUUGGUAAAAAAAAUUACAUGUGGCACCUCACUUAGGGUGCCACGUCAGCGUAGACCGAGUCAAAAUUGGCAUUGGGGGCCAAAACUGCCACAGAUGCAAAACUUAGGGGGCGGUUU